UGCCCAGGCGGAAUGGUAGACGCAAGGGACUUAAAAUCCCUCGGUCGCAAGACCGUGCUGGUUCAAGUCCAGUCUUGGGCGCCCA
This 85-nucleotide transfer RNA is filed under the name Mycoplasmopsis felis. RNAcentral's name for it is "tRNA-Leu". It matches the Rfam family "tRNA". Rfam says of the family: Transfer RNA (tRNA) molecules are approximately 80 nucleotides in length. Their secondary structure includes four short double-helical elements and three loops (D, anti-codon, and T loops). Lineage: Bacteria; Bacillati; Mycoplasmatota; Mycoplasmoidales; Metamycoplasmataceae. The record is from RNAcentral.